UCCCUCCCAGUCCCUCCCAGUACCUCUGCACCAGCACGGCGAGCCGCGGGGGGGGGAUUUGGAAAAGCAGCUGCUGCAGGAGCCGGGGGGGGGAGUGCAGGAGCCGCUCCAGCAUCUGGAACGUGCGGAAGUGGUCGCGGGUAUCGCUCUGCAGCACCGCCACCGACGUCCCCGCCCGCUCCAGGACCCCCCCCUGAAGGCGGCGGGACACGGCCUCGGCCACUGCGGGGUCACACGGGGUCAGACGUGGGGUCAGACGGGGUCAUUGGGGUCAUAUGGGGUCAUAUGGGGUCAGUGGGGUUGGGGGGAGAUGGGGCUCCAGGACCCCCCCCUGCUGGCGGCAGGACACGGCCUCGGAUACUGCGGGAUCAUAUGGGGUCAGACGUGGGGUCAGACAGGGUCAUUGGGGGUCAUUGGGGUCAUAUGGGGUCAUAUGGGGUCGGGGGGGUCACAGGGAUAUGGGGGUCUGUGAGGUUGGGGGGCAGAUGGGGCUCCAGGACCCCCCCCUGCAGGCAAUGGGACACAGCCUCGGGCACUGCGGGGUCACACGGGGUCAGAUGUGGGGUCAGACGGGGACAUUGGGGUCAUACGGGGUCAUAUGGGGUCAUAUGGGGUCAGUGGGGUUGGGGGGAGAUGGGGCUCCAGGACCCCCCCCUGCUGGCGGCGGGACACGGCCUCGGUCACUGCGGGGUCAGACAGGGUCACAUGGGGUCAGAUGUGGGGUCAGGCGGGGUCAUUGGGGCCAUACGGGGUCACUGGGGUCAUAUGGGGUCAUAUGGGGUCGGGGGGGUCACAGGGAUAUGGGGGUCUGUGGGGUUGGGGGGCAGAUGGGGCUCCAGGACCCCCCCCUGCAGGCGGCGGGACACAGCCUCGGCCACUGCGGGGUCAUAUGGGGUCAGACGUGGGGUCAGACGGGGUCAUUGGGGUCAUAUGGGGUCAUAUGGGGUCGGGGGGGUCACAGGGAUAUGGGGGUCAGUGGGGUUGGGGGGGGGGCAAAUGGGGCUCCAGGACCCCCCCCCUGCAGGCGGCGGGACACAGCCUCGGUCACUGCGGGGUCACACGGGGUCAGACGUGGGGUCAGACGGGGUCACUGGGGUCAGACGGGGUCAUAUGGGGUCA
RNAcentral lists this long non-coding RNA (1119 nucleotides) under Numida meleagris (helmeted guineafowl). RNAcentral describes it as "lncRNA (ENSNMEG00000001401.1)". Lineage: Eukaryota; Metazoa; Chordata; Aves; Galliformes; Numididae. The record is from RNAcentral.